GCGCCUCACCCUGCCCAGCGCUUUGCAGCUGCUGUCACGCGCGCACACUCAGGCUUGGUCGGAGCCUGCCGCGUGCUGGCAGCUGAAAUCCAGGCGUUUCCACGGUUGCAGUGGCUGUGAAACCCCAGCGGGCUGUGUCCAUGCCGGACACAAGUGCGGGAAGACAGCACGACCACAGGACCCCGCCUGGUGAGGCACAUGGAGGACCCACAGUGCACGUGAGGCGGAGAGAGGUUGACUGACUUGCCCCUUGCCAGCAGAGCCAGUCUGCCCUUCAUUACAUCACCAGAGAAACAAAAACGAGGCUUCCUGUGUGCCCUUCACAAUAGAGCGGGAUAAUAUGAACAAUUUGUGAUGAGAAGUCCUGUGAUCUUGAGAAUGUAACACCGGGUUUCAUAACUCUUCCUACCAAAAAACCUUCAGAAGCUCACGGUUAGACACCAGAGGGAAGCCAGACCCAGCAGUCUGUUUCCUCCCUGUCCAGCUCCUGCCCAACUUUCCCAAUUCUUUCCACUACUCCCAGGUGGCCUGGAGGACCUGUGCCCACCAGCCCCUUGGCAGUGCCUGCACCCAGCUCUACCCUAACCGCCACUUGCCUGUUGAUCCCUGCAUUCCGCCUUUGUUCAUCAGCUGCUUGUACCCAGCACCCUCCCCCCACUUAUCCAAUUCCUGCUUCUUGCACAAAGUAUUCCAGUGCUGAGGCAACUCUGCUAGGCUCUCCAGGGCCCCAGACUUCCUAACGUGUGUUCUGUGACACUUAAUAACAUACUGCCUCCCUUGCAUUGUUACUUACUUUCUGUACUGUUACUUUUCAUGAGUUUGUGGUAUAUGCCUUGUCUCCCUGACUGUUACUGCAGACCUUGAGCUGUAUGUCUGACUCACUCCCAGUGAUGGACACUCAGCAAGAAGCUGCCUCGGGAAAUCAGGCCACUCCAUCCAUCUGACUGGGCUGCCAGGCGCCGCUUUCAUCUCUGUCCUUGACUGGGGGUAGCCUGUCCAUCUCGACAAGAUGGAAACAGCACUUUGAAUUGCAUGGGAAAAAUGUACUCUACAGAGAGGAGACAAAUACUCUUCUUUUGGCCAAGUUUUCAGAGGAAAUAUAAGGUAUGUUCAUUAAAAUAUGUCCCUGCUGAUAAUCAGCACUGGAAAUUCAAAAGGUGUUACCUUGAAUAAAUGUUAUUUUUCACA
Non-coding RNA from Odocoileus virginianus texanus, 1188 nucleotides. The record is from RefSeq and is a predicted model, not a curated record. NCBI's taxonomy places the organism in Eukaryota, Metazoa, Chordata, Mammalia, Artiodactyla, Cervidae.